AGAAACGGAGGGGAAAGUGGCGCGGGAUCAGGAGGGGUGGAAGAGUUAAUGUGAAUGUCGGGAGGUAAAGAGUGAGGAGGGUGUUGCUUAAGUCCGUUGUGAAGGCCCUGGGCUCAACCUGUGAACGACGAUGGAUACUGAGGAGAUGGAGUACGGUAGAGGAAGGGGGAAUUCCCGGUGUAGCGGUGAAAUGCGUAGAGAUCGGGAGGAACAUCAGUGGCGAAGGCGGCCUUCUGGACCAGUACUGACGCUGAGGCACGAAAGCGUGGGGAGCAAACAGGAUUAGAUACCCUAGUAGUC
Molecule: ribosomal RNA, 300 nt
Filed under: uncultured Bartonella sp.
Lineage: Bacteria; Pseudomonadati; Pseudomonadota; Alphaproteobacteria; Hyphomicrobiales; Bartonellaceae
Description: bacterial SSU rRNA
Rfam family: Bacterial small subunit ribosomal RNA (bases 53-300)
Source: RNAcentral